GAUCUUCAAGAGGUAAGGGCCGAUUUUGAGCUCAUUUUAUGUUUUAAACAAGUUUUAAGUUGAUCUUUGGGGUAGAAAUGCAUGUUUAGGUUUUUAGUUGGUUUAAGGGUUAUGUUAAGUUUUUGAGCAAUGUAUGAUGCUUGUGGUUGUUUGAUGUGUUGUAGAUGGGGUUUAGGAUAGUUUGAAGCCCCUAGGAGCUGAUGUAUGUAUCUAUGUAUGUUUUGAAUGAGUUGUAUGCUUGAUCUAAAAGGUUGGGAGGCAACUGUGCAUGAGGAACCAAGUUUCUGCCCUUUGGCAGAAACCAGGUUCGGCAGCCGAAGGACUUUCGGCCGCCGAACCUGCUUGGGAGGCAAGCCUUUCGGCUGCCGAAGCCUGCCCCCGAAAGAGGACUUUCGUCUCUGGAGGGUAGUUUCGGCCGCCGAAAGUGCCGCCGAACAUGCAUGAGUUUCGUCUCUGUCUGGGAGUUUCGGCCGCCGAAGGUGCCGCCAAACCUGCCUAACUUUCGGCUCUGGAGGGACUUUCGGCCGCCGAACCUGCCGCCGAAAGUGCCCUGUUUAGCCUUCCUUUGCAUGCUUCCCAUGGAUGUUUUGAGGUGUUUUAAGGGGGUUUUUGGGGGAUGUUUUAGAGUCAUAUUCUAGUAUGUUUGGUCCCUCAUUUGAGUCCACCUUUGUAGGUUCGGACCCGAGGACCCCAGCAGUGACAACUGCUUCAGAGUCUUGUCAGAGUCAGCCAGAGGUGAGUAGAAUAAAUUCUUACGUUUUAAAUAAAUGAAAAACUUUAGCAUGAAUCAUGCAUCAUGAAUGCCAUGUGAUAUCCUAGGUUGCUUGCAUUAGAAUUCACGAAUAUGUUGCAUUGCAUAUCUUGAUGUUGAUGUGGGUGGAUAUUGGAUGACCCAUUGGUCCUCAGUAUGAUGAGACACGAUAUGAUAUGAUAUGGAAGUCCAGGUGUGGCCUGCACUACGCCCCUGGCACUAUGUAAGUGAAAGUCCGGGUGUGGCCUGCACUACGCCCCCGGCACAGUUGGACAUGUAUGUUAUGAGAUAUGUAAGAGAAAGACCAGGUGUGGCCUGCACUACGCCCCUGGCAUAGUUGGAUUAUGUAGAGGACCCUUGGUGACAAGUCCAUCCUUGAUGUGAUAUGGUUGUGAUGUGAUGCAUUACAUGAUAGCAUGUGUUUUAAUUGUUAUUAUUAUUCUGCUCACUGGGCUCUUGUAGCUCACCCCUUUCCCCUUAUCCCCCAGGUUUGCAGGUACAGGGUAGACCAGGAGGUCAGCAGGAGUAUAGUCUGUUUUUAUGUAAUAGUUAGAAGUUGUGGACAUGAUGAAAUUGAAAUGUAAUGUUUUAUGUAGUCAUGAUAUGUAAAAUGAUAUUGAGGAUUAGAGGUUGUGCUUGACCCUAUGUGUAUGGUAUUCCCUUUUUAUGCAUGAUCACUAUUAUUAACGAUGAGAUGAGUAAUCAAGCUUAAUGUAUGUUAUUGAUACCCCAUUGGAGCAUGUGAUGAGGGCUCUAGUGUGAGGUUUAUGGUUAUGUUAGUGUGCAUGCACAGGUUAAGCUUGAUUUAUGAAAUAAAAAGUUUACAUGUUUAUGUAUUUGUAUGAUCAUGUAUGGGAAUACACAGGUUUACAGGUUGUAUGUCAGGCUUGCUACAGGUCCCGACGGCCUUAAGCCGAUCUGGAUCCUAGCGCCGGUAGCGGUCCGAUUUUCGGGUCGUUACAGAAUGGUAUCAGAGCCCUAGGUUCAUAUGGUCAGACUUAGAGUGUCGGGCUCAUAGAGGUUAUAGAAGGUCAAGCACAAUAGGAAAGGUCAUGUCCACUAGGAUAGGAUGUGGAGUCCUGUCUUGUAUGAUGAUGUGAAAUGCCAUGAUUAUAUACAUGUGCAUUAAUGCUAUGAUAUGAAUAAUAUGUGUGUGAUGCGGGUUCAUGUGUGUCCACAUGAACCAUAUGAUGCUAACGUUUAUGUGAUGUGUACUGUUUUUCAGAAAACAGGAUGAGGGAAACUCGUCGAUCUGCACGAUUGGUUGGAGUGCCACCUGAGGAUGAGGGCAUGAGCGCCCGUCCUCUUGCAUUGCCUAGAGCAAUGUCUAGUAGGGCUAGCAGAGAAAGAGCAGCAAGAGACCCUAGAAGGUCUCUGGAUCUGGGUAGAAGCAGAUCAGUGAGGGGAACAGUUUAGGGAGGAAUAUCAGAGGACAUGGGGGAUGAUAUGGAUGUAGAGCAGAGGAGAGAUGGCAGUCUGGGAGUAAGCAUGUCAGAAAAGGGAAUGGGAGAGUCCCAAGGAGGCACUCAGGCCUCAGGAUUUGCUCAGCCACCCCACUACCCACACUUCUCACAAAAUCCCGGGUAUUCGAUGGGAGGUACGUCGGAUUACCCUAGCUUUACCCCUUAUCCCAUACACAUGCCAUACCCUCCCUACUACCCACCAUACCCACAGCACCCAAUGUAUCCACCCCCACCCUACUAUCCAAAUCCAGCUAACCCUACCUCAGAAAAUGUUGCACCUCCUCCACCAUCAGCAGAACCCACAGUUCCAGCAACCCAUAUGCCUAAGCCUAGCUCAUCUGGUGGGAGCAAGGUCAAGAUGACCGACUACAUGAAGCUGGGUGCUCCCCAGUUUGAAACCGGUGAUGACCCGUUUGUGUACCUUGAAAGGGUCAAAACAAUUACAGAUGAGAUAGGAGCUGAUGACAGCAGAGCCAUUCAGAUGGUUGGGUUCACACUCAAAUGCAAAAAGGCCCGUGAGUGGUUUAAGAACUAUGUGAGCCCAAGGUUGGACAGCCUAUCAUGGGAGGAGUUUGCAAAUGAAUUUGCAGGAUGGGCUUUUCCUGACAGUUCAAGAGAAUUGAAGAUGAUUGAGUUUGAACAGUUAAGGCAGACAGAGGAAAUGAGUGUAGACAAGUACACCGACAGAUUCUUGGAGCUGUUGCCGUUUGCAGGGCAAACUCUUGACACCGAUCAGAAGAAGUCAAGGAGGUAUAUCAUGAAACUUCACUCCAGGUAUUCCUCCUUGAUUCAGUCCGCAGAUAGGGAGAGCUUCCAUGCCAUAGUGGAUAUGGCUAGGAGGAUGGAGGCUAGUGCUAUCAUCGAGGGGAAAGUCAAGCAGUCAGUGGCACAGCCUUCUGGUUCUAAGACCCCAGGCUCUUCUUCUCUGAGUGUAGCAGCUUCAGGAAGUAAAAAGUGGGACAGAAGCUCUAGGAAGUCUAAGAAGAACAAGUUAUGGAAUAAGGUUAAGUCCAGUCUGGGAUUUGGUGGUGGCUCAAGCUCUGGUGCGGAUAAUGCAGUUUGUACAAGGUGUGGUAAGCCACACAAGGGAGUAUGUCGGUUUGGGACGACAGCCUGUUUUAGAUGCGGUCAUGAGGGACAUAUGGCUCGAGAGUGUCCAAGAGCAGUUCCGAUGGCUCAGUCCCAGCAGACAGCUUCUGGUAGUAUAGCACAGCCAGCAGCUCCAGCCACGACUCAGGCUAGUGGCAGAGGUAGAGGGAGAGGGGCAGCCUCUUCUUCAGCUGGUUUCAGAGGUGAAGGUCCAUCAGCUCCAGCACGGAUCUUCACAAUGACACAACAGGAGGCAGAUGCAUCUAACACCGUGGUGGCAGGUAACUUAGUCAUUGGUUGUUCAGAUGUGUAUGCCUUGAUGGACCCUGGUGCAUCUCAUUCUUUUAUUGCACCGAGAGCCGUUGAGAGGUUGGGGUUGAUGAUCUCUGGGUUAGAGUGUCCUCUCUGGGUCAGUGGACCCAAGUGUGAUCCAUCAGUGGCAGAGUCAGUCUGCCAGUGUAGUCCUGUGUUUGUUGAGGGAAGAUGCUUGUCCGCCGACCUUAUGGUUCUAGACUUGAUAGAUUUUGACGUCAUUCUAGGGAUGGACUGGUUAUCUACCCAUGGUGCUACCUUGGACUGCAGGGACAAGGUAGUCAGGUUCAGAGGUCAGGAUGGGUCAGAGGUAGUCUUCAGAGGAGACAUGAGGGGUACACCUAGAGGUCUGGUAUCAGCUCUUCAGGCUCGUAGGUUGCUUAGGAGGGGAUGUCAGGGGUAUUUGGCUCAUGUGAGGGAGCUUAGCAGUCAGGUUAGAGAGCCCGCCUCGGUGCCAGUGGUCAGAGAGUUUUCAGAUGUCUUCCCAGACGAGCUGCUAGGUUUACCACCUGCUAGGGAGAUAGAGUUCGAGAUAGAAUUGAUGCCUGAAACCCGACCGAUCUCUAUCCUCCCUACAGGAUGGCACCAGCAGAAUUGAAAGAGUUGAAAGAGCAGUUACAAGAACUGGUAGACAAGGGCUUCAUCCGACCGAGUACCUCACCCUGGGGUGCUCCAGUUUUGUUUGUGAGAAAGAAGGAUGGAUCCCUUAGACUUUGUAUCGACUACAGGCAGUUGAACAAAGUCACUACCAAGAAUAGAUACCCUUUGCCAAGGAUCGAUGAUCUAUUCGACCAGCUAGCAGGAGCGGGUUGUUUCUCCAAAAUAGAUCUGAGAUCUGGGUACCAUCAGCUGAGGAUAAGAGAGGAAGAUGUGCCAAAGAUGACUUUCAGAACCAGAUAUGGGCAUUUUGAGUUCCUUGUAAUGCCGUUCGGGUUAACCAACGCUCCUGCAGCAUUCAUGGAUCUCAUGAACAGAGUGUUUAGCCAGUACCUGGAUCACUUUGUUAUUGUCUUCAUAGAUGAUAUCUUAGUGUAUUCCAGGAAUGCAGAGGAGCAUGUCCAUCAUCUGAGGUUGGUUCUGCAGACCUUGAGGGAACACGGCUUGUAUGCCAAGUUCUCCAAGUGUGAGUUUUGGAGCAUUUCACUCUUGGGGCAUGUUGUGUCAGAAAAUGGGAUAGAGGUGGAUCCCAAGAAGAUAGAAGUUGUGGCUAACUGGCCUAGACCCACUUCAGUGUCAGAGAUCAGAAGUUUCUUGGGUUUGGCGGGUUACUACAGGAGGUUCGUUCAGGACUUCUCAAAAAUUGCAGCUCCUCUGACCAGACUAACCAGGAAAAAUCAGAAGUUUGUGUGGGCCGACCAGUGCGAAGAGAGUUUUGAAGAGCUUAAGAAGAGGUUAACGUCGGCACCAGUGUUAGCUUUGCCAACUAGCAAUGAGGACUUCACAGUGUGAUGCAUCCCGAGUGGGUUUGGGUUGUGUGUUAAUGCAGAAUGAAAGGGUGAUUGCUUAUGCUUCUAGACAGCUGAAGAAGCAUGAGUUGAAUUACCCCACACAUGACCUGGAGAUGGCAGCAGUAAUCUUUGCACUCAAGAUGUGGAGGCACUACCUCUAUGGGGUUAAAUGUGAGAUCUUUACAGAUCAUAAGAGCCUGCAGUACAUCCUGAGUCAAAGAGAUUUGAACUUGAGAUAGAGAAGAUGGGUAAAGCUGCUGAGUGACUAUGAUUGCAAGAUUCAGUACCAUCCGGGUAAGGCGAAUGUUGUGGCAGACGCCCUAAGCCGGAAGUCACUAGGCAGUCUAUCCCACAUAUCGGCAGAGAGGAGACCAGUAGUGAAGGAGUUUUACAAGCUCGUUGAUGAAGGUCUUCAGUUGGAGUUGUCUGGUACAGGUGCUUUAGUUGCCCAGAUAAGAGUGGCACCCGUGUUUCUGAAGCAGGUGGCUCAGAAACAGCAUGAGGACCCAGAGUUAGUGAAGAUUGCCAGGACUGUUCAGUCAGGCAAGGAUAGUGAGUUCAGAUUCGACAACAAGGGGAUCCUCCGCUAUGGGAGUCGAUUGUGUGUACCAGAUGACAUAGGGCUAAAGGGAGACAUUAUGAGAGAGGCUCAUAAUGCAAGAUACAGCGUUCACCCCGGAGCCACCAAAAUGUAUCAAGAUCUGAAGAAAGUUUAUUGGUGGCCAACUAUGAAGAGAGAAGUGGCACAGUUUGUGUCAGCCUGCGAAUUGUGUCAGAGGGUGAAGCUGGAACAUCAGAAGCCGGCUGGAAUGCUUAACCCGCUACCUAUUCCAGAGUGGAAAUGGGAAAAUAUAGCUAUGGACUUCGUAGUGGGGUUACCGGCGACGUCCAACAGAUUGGACUCCAUAUGGGUGAUUGUGGACAGACUCACCAAAUCUGCUCACUUCAUCCCUGUCAGGAGUGGCUAUUCUGUGGACAAGUUAGCGCAGGUGUAUGUCGAUGAGAUCGUCAGGCUGCAUGUGGUUCCUGUUUCAAUAGUGUCCGAUAGAGGACCCCAAUUCACCUCCAGAUUUUGGUGGAGUCUGCAGAAUGCCAUGGGUACCAGGUUGGAUUUUAGCACUGCUUUCCAUCCGCAGACGGACGGACAAUCAGAAAGGACCAUCCAGACCAUAGAGGAUAUGCUCAGAAUGUGUGUGCUGGACUUUGGCGGUUCUUGGAGGCAGCAUCUACCUUUGCCUACAAUAACAGUCAUCAUGCUAGCAUCGGGAUGGCUCCAUAUGAAGCUUUAUAUGGAGGAAGUGCAGAUCACCUGUUUGCUGGGAAGAGGUUGGAGAAAAGGCCUUGGCAGGGCCUGAGCUAGUAGAGAUCACUAGCAGGGUGGUACCCAUAAUCAGAGAAAGGAUCAAGACUGCUGCAAGCAUACAUAAGAGUUAUGCAGAUAUCCGCAGAAGACAAGUAGAGUUUCAGGAGGGGGAUAUGGUAUUGCUCAAGGUGUCUCCUAUGAAAGGAGUGGUUCGCUUUGGGAAGAAAGGUAAACUAGCCCCACGAUACAUCGAACCCUUUGAAAUCUUGCAAAAGAUUGGGAAUGUGUCGUACAAGCUGGAUUUACCUGCUUCAAUGGAAAGAAUCCAUCCGGUUUUCCAUGUUUCAAUGUUGAGAAAGUUUGUGUCAGAUCCGGGUAAGGUUCUUAGUGAGCCUGAUGUGGAGAUCCAAGAGGAUCUCACCUAUAUUGAACAGCCAGUACGGAUCAUAGACACCCAGAUCAAAAAGCUAAGGAACAAGGAAAUCCCGAUGGUGAAAGUCCUUUGGAACCACCACAAUAUGGAAGAAUGCACCUGGGAGACACGGGAGUCUAUGCUCCAGCAGUACCCUCAUCUCUUUUAAGGUUAGAUCUCUAUGUGUUUAUGUGCUAUGUAUGUAUGUUAUAUUGAUUGCUGUGCUUGUGCUAGUUGGGGAACAUUCGGGGACGAAUGUUCUUAAGGGGGAGAGAAUGUAAUACCCGGCUAGACUCCGGUAUCAGAAUUCCUACCGUCCGGUGGAAUCUCGGAUGUCGGAAGCCUCUAGUAGGGUAGAAACAUGUUUUCAUAAAAUGUUUUAAUGUAUUUUAUGGUUUUAAUCAAGUAAGAAAUGAGUUUUUUUGCAUGAAAAUAAUCUUGGAGGAAGACCCAGGUUCGGCCGCCGAACCUCAAGUUCGGCCGCCGAACAUGCAUGCACUUCGGGAGAGCCUUAGGCCCCCAAAGGCAUAAGUGAGGGAAGUCCAGGUUCGGCCGCCGAACCUCAUGUUCGGCUGCCGAACUUGCAUGCGUUGCGGAGGCACGUUCAGCUCCCGAAUGUGGCCUGGCCAGCCACCUAUAAAGGGGUCCCUUAGCCAAAAACGGGCGAGUUUUUCUCCCCAUUUUCGGCCAAGGUGAGCUCUCCGCCGUCCCUCACCGAUCUUGAGUUUCUUCCUUCCAUUCUUCAUGAUUUUUAUGAGUUUUCACCUUCGUUUUGAAGAUUUUCGAGUAUAAAGCAAGUUUUGAAGCUUUGAGGUUCAUGAAGCUCAAUCUCUCCCAUCUCCGAGCUAGGGUCGUUCUCCUCUCGAUCUUCAAGAGGUAAGGGCCGAUCUUGAGCUCAUUUUAUGUUUUAAACAAGUUUUAAGUUGAUCUUUGGGGUAGAAAUGCAUGUUUAGAUUUUUAGUUGGUUUAAGGGUUAUGUUAAGUUUUUGAGCAAUGUAUGAUGCUUGUGGUCGUUUGAUGUGUUGUAGAUGGGGUUUAGGAUAGUUUGAAGCCCCUAGGAGCUGAUGUAUGUAUCUAUGUAUGUUUUGAGUGAGUUGUAUGCUUGAUCUAAAAGGUUGGGAGACAACUGUGCAUGAGGAAC
This 7919-nucleotide long non-coding RNA is filed under the name Manihot esculenta (cassava). Its description in RNAcentral is "long non-coding RNA (MESC_LNC009813)". The record is from RNAcentral. Lineage: Eukaryota; Viridiplantae; Streptophyta; Magnoliopsida; Malpighiales; Euphorbiaceae.